UACGGAAGGUCCGGGCGUUAUCCGGAUUUAUUGGGUUUAAAGGGAGCGCAGGCUGCAGAUUAAGCGUGACGUGAAAUGCCGCGGCUCAACCGUGGAAGUGCGUCGCGAACUGGUUUGCUUGAGUGCGAACGACGUUGGCGGAAUUCGUGGUGUAGCGGUGAAAUGCUUAGAUAUCACGAAGAACUCCGAUUGCGAAGGCAGCCAACGAGGCCGUAACUGACGCUAAAGCUCGAAGGUGCGGGUAU
This 245-nucleotide ribosomal RNA is filed under the name uncultured Prevotella sp. RNAcentral describes it as "partial 16S ribosomal RNA". It matches the Rfam family "Bacterial small subunit ribosomal RNA", at positions 524 to 768 of the family's 1533-position model. The record is from RNAcentral. Lineage: Bacteria; Pseudomonadati; Bacteroidota; Bacteroidia; Bacteroidales; Prevotellaceae.